UUCCAGCUCCAAUAGCGUAUAUUAAAGUUGUUGCAGUUAAAAAGCUCGUAGUUGAAUUUCGGGGUUAGUAGGUUGGUCAUGCCUCCGGUAUGUACUGAUCUCACUGAUUCCUCCUUCCUUAUGAACCGUAAUGCCAUUAAUUUGGUGUUGCGGGGAAUUUGGACUGUUACUUUGAAAAAAUUAGAGUGUUUAAAGCAGGCUAACGCUUGAAUACAUUAGCAUGGAAUAAUGAAAUAGGACGUUCGAUCUUAUUUUGUUGGUUUCUAGGAUUGACGUAAUGAUUAAUAGGAAUAGUUGGGGGCAUUAGUAUUCAAUUGUCAGAGGUGAAAUUCUUGGAUUUAUUGAAGACUAACUACUGCGAAAGCAUUUGCCAAGGAUGUUUUCAUUAAUCAAGAACGAAAGUUAGGGGAUCGAAGACGAUCAGAUACCGUCGUAGUCUUAACCAUAAACUAUGCCGACUGGGGAUCGG
Molecule: ribosomal RNA, 469 nt
Filed under: uncultured Glomus
Lineage: Eukaryota; Fungi; Glomeromycota; Glomeromycetes; Glomerales; Glomeraceae
Description: SSU rRNA
Rfam family: Eukaryotic small subunit ribosomal RNA
Source: RNAcentral